RNAcentral lists this ribosomal RNA (3148 nucleotides) under Pseudonocardia bannensis. RNAcentral's name for it is "23S ribosomal RNA". It matches the Rfam family "Bacterial large subunit ribosomal RNA". Lineage: Bacteria; Bacillati; Actinomycetota; Actinomycetes; Pseudonocardiales; Pseudonocardiaceae. The record is from RNAcentral.
AGUGGAUGCGAGCAUCUUGUUGUAAGCAAGUGUGUAAGGGCAUACGGUGAAUGCCUGGGCAUCAGGAGCCGAUGAAGGACGUGGGAGGCCGCGAUAGGCCUCGGGGAGCUGCCAACCGAGCUGUGAUCCGAGGAUCUCCGAAUGGGGAAACCCGGCAUCCGUCAUGGGGUGUCACCGGCAGCUGAAUCCAUAGGCUGUCGGAGGGAACGUGGGGAAGUGAAACAUCUCAGUACCCACAGGAAGAGAAAACAACCGUGAUUCCGUGAGUAGUGGCGAGCGAAAGCGGAAGAGGCUAAACCCGCGCCGUGCCAAGCUGACAGGCGUUGCGGCGCGGGGGUAGUGGGACGGAUCCGUGGAAAGGCUGUCACCUUUCCGAGAGGUGUGCGUGCGGUUAGCGGAAGGCGUCUGGAAAGCGUCGGCGUAGAGGGUGACACCCCCGUACGCGAAAACCGGACGUACGCCUCUGGGGUCCGCUUCCCGAGUAGCAGCGAGCCCGUGGAAUUCGCUGUGAAUCCGGCGGGACCACCCGUCAAGCCUAAAUACUCCCUGGUGACCGAUAGCGGACGAGUACCGUGAGGGAACGGUGAAAAGUACCCCGCGAGGGGAGUGAAAUAGUACCUGAAACCGUGUGCCUACAAGCCGUCAGAGCCUUUCGGGGUGAUGGCGUGCCUUUUGAAGAAUGAACCUGCGAGUUAUGCUUCGUGGCGAGGUUAACCCGUGUGGGGUAGCCGUAGCGAAAGCGAGUCCGAAUAGGGCGUCCGAGUCGCGGGGUGUAGACCCGAAGCGGAGUGAUCUACCCAUGGCCAGGGUGAAGCGCCGGUAAGACGGCGUGGAGGCCCGAACCCACCAGGGUUGAAAACCUGGGGGAUGAGCUGUGGGUAGGGGUGAAAGGCCAAUCAAACUCCGUGAUAGCUGGUUCUCCCCGAAAUGCAUUUAGGUGCAGCGUCGCGUGGUGGAUGCCGGAGGUAGAGCACUGGAUGGGCUAGGGGGCCGACAAGCUUACCGAACUCAACCAAACUCCGAAUGCCGGUAUUCCUAGCGUGGCAGUGAGACUGCGGGGGAUAAGCUUCGUAGUCGAGAGGGAAACAGCCCAGAUCACCGGCUAAGGCCCCUAAGCGUGCGCUAAGUGGGAAAGGAUGUAGGAUCGCAGAGACAGCCAGGAGGUUGGCUUAGAAGCAGCCAUCCUUGAAAGAGUGCGUAACAGCUCACUGGUCGAGUGGUCCUGCGCCGACAAUGUAGCGGGGCUCAAGCGCACCGCCGAAGCCGUGGCAUCGUCGCAUUGAUCCGCCGGCGCCCCUGUGGUGCUGGUGUAGUCGCGACGAUGGGUAGGGGAGCGUCGCGCAUCCGGCGAAGCCGCGGGGUGACCCAGUGGUGGAGGGUGUGCGAGUGAGAAUGCAGGCAUGAGUACGCGAGAGCAGAGUGAGAACCUCUGCCGCCGAAUGACCAAGGGUUCCUGGGCUAGGCUAAUCCGCCCAGGGUGAGCCGGGACCUAAGGCGAGGCCGACAGGCGUAGUCGAUGGACAACGGGUUGAUAUUCCCGUGCCCGUGACAGUGCGUCCCUGACGAACCCGGUGAAACUGCUCAUCCGAACCCGCCCGGUCCCCUUCGGGGGACCGUGGACGGGGGAGCGUGAGCAGCGGAUCCGGUAGUAGUCAAGCGAUGGGGUGACGCCGGAGGGUAGUCCCGCCAGUGAAUGGUAGUACUGGUGUAAGCCCGUAGCCCGACAUCCAGGCAAAUCCGGAUGUCAUUAAAGGGUGAGAGGCGAUGCAUAGCCGAUUGAGGCGAAGCAGGAUGAUCCCAUACGGCCGAGAAAAGCCUCUAGCGAGUGCUGUCGCGGCCCGUACCGCAAACCGACACAGGUGGUCAGGUAGAGAAUACCGAGGCGAUCGAGCUAACUGUGGUCAAGGAACUCGGCAAACUGCCCCCGUAACUUCGGGAGAAGGGGGGCCGCUUCGCCUGAAGCCCCUCGCGGGCUAGGGUGGGGCGGCCGCAGAGACCAGGCCCAAGCGACUGUUUACUAAAAACACAGGUCCGUGCGAAGUCGCAAGACGAUGUAUACGGACUGACGCCUGCCCGGUGCUGGAACGUUAAGGGGACCCGUUAGCUCCCUUCGGGGGGCGAAGCGGAGAACUUAAGCGCCAGUAAACGGCGGUGGUAACUAUAACCAUCCUAAGGUAGCGAAAUUCCUUGUCGGGUAAGUUCCGACCUGCACGAAUGGCGUAACGACUUGGGCGCUGUCUCGACCACAGGCUCGGCGAAAUUGCACUACGAGUAAAGAUGCUCGUUACGCGCGGCAGGACGGAAAGACCCCGGGACCUUUACUACAGCUUGGUAUUGGUGCUCGGUUCGGCUUGUGUAGGAUAGGUGGGAGACUGAGAAGCGGCCACGCCAGUGGCCGUGGAGUCGUCCUUGAAAUACCACUCUGGUCGAACUGGGUGUCUCAACCUCGGGCCAUGAUCUGGCCCAGGGACAGUGCCUGGUGGGUAGUUUAACUGGGGCGGUUGCCUCCCAAAAUGUAACGGAGGCGCCCAAAGGUUCCCUCAGCCUGGUUGGCAAUCAGGUGUUGAGUGUAAGUGCACAAGGGAGCUUGACUGUGAGACAGACAUGUCGAGCAGGGACGAAAGUCGGGACUAGUGAUCCGGCACCGCCUGGUGGAAGGGGUGUCGCUCAACGGAUAAAAGGUACCCCGGGGAUAACAGGCUGAUCUUGCCCAAGAGUCCAUAUCGACGGCAUGGUUUGGCACCUCGAUGUCGGCUCGUCGCAUCCUGGGGCUGGAGUAGGUCCCAAGGGUUGGGCUGUUCGCCCAUUAAAGCGGUACGCGAGCUGGGUUUAGAACGUCGUGAGACAGUUCGGUCCCUAUCCGCCGCGCGCGCAGGAGACUUGAGGAAGGCUGUCCCUAGUACGAGAGGACCGGGACGGACGAACCUCUGGUGUGCCAGUUGUCCCACCAGGGGCACGGCUGGUUGGCUAUGUUCGGAAGGGAUAACCGCUGAAGGCAUCUAAGCGGGAAGCUCGUUCCAAGAUGAGGUCUCCCACCACCUCGCGUGGUUAAGGCCCCCAGCAGACCACUGGGUUGAUAGGCCAGAGAUGGAAGCCCGGCAACGGGUGGAGUCGACUGGUACUAAUAGGCCGAGGGCUUGCCACAACA